RNAcentral lists this long non-coding RNA (4064 nucleotides) under Sus scrofa (pig). RNAcentral describes it as "lncRNA (ENSSSCG00000053014.1)". Lineage: Eukaryota; Metazoa; Chordata; Mammalia; Artiodactyla; Suidae. The record is from RNAcentral.
AUGAAGGGGUGAGUUUUAUGAAGGGCCGAAAGUGAGUGGGUAUAUCAUUGGUUAUGCAGAUAAAAUUCCUAAAUUUCCUGUUUAUCUAUCUGUGGUCAUUUUCAGAAUUUCCUCCCCUAAGCCCGGUACACAUCAUUCUACUCACAAUAGAUGGCAAAUAUUUCUAGGAUAUAUGUGUCUUUUUCAUCUCCACACAGACUCUCAAAAUCCUGAGAACUUGCAUACCAAAAUCUGCAAAACUUAAAGCUUGUAAAUAGUUUCUGAAAAAUGGAAAUUCAGCUGCUCAGAAUUCUUCUGCUCAAAUUCUUCUGCUCAAAUAGUCUCCUGCAGGAGGCUAACUCCACCCUCUUAGUAAUAAAAUAAAUAUUAGAUCUCAUUUUGAGAUGAAGUCCGGUAAUUUACUGGGCCUAUUUUUCUUACAAGUUUUUGGGUGGAUUUUUUUAAUUUGAAUGUCAUUGAGAACCAGUGAUUCUGUGGACAGGGAAACAUGAAUUUGGACCAAUCAAUGAGCAAAAACCUCUGAAAGACUGCAAGAAUUUUUAAAUAUUCUACUGCAUCAGUCGUUAGAAAAACUCUGAAUGUGAGUGUUGCUGCUGUAUUUUAUUGUUCUGCUUGGGAAGGAUGAGAGACCUGGUGGAGUGAGAACUUCCACAGUGAGUCCCCUGUGCUUGUCACUUAGAUGUCCCAUUUCAUCCCUUUCUGCAGGACCUUAAUCAUUAAUUUUUCCCCACCCAUCUUGAUCAACACAGCUGCCCAUGAAAUGGUCACUAACAACCAAAACCUUUCCUUCCUUUUUCUAUGCAUCAUUUUUGACCAGCUUUUUUUGAAACUAUCUUAACCUUAGCUGACCCUUCUUGCUAACCUUCUAUGAAAACCCUGCCCCUUUCAUUACAAAUUAGAACACUUCUUUGAGUCCUCCCUUAUGGGGAAUUUUUGAAUAAUUUCUAUUAACAGUGCUCUGGAUCCCCCAGAAAAUUCCAAGAAAUCCUAUGAGCAGAGUGAUAGCUUUAGAUGCUUUUUAAGAUACAGAAAGAAGAUUUCUUCUUUUCCAGUGUAUGUUGUUUUUUUCUAGUUUAUACAAUAUCAAGAUUCCUACUGAUGUAUUUUUGAAAGUAAGAAGCAAGGAAACAUUACUUGAAAAGUUAUUUUUAUGAUAAAUAUUGCCAAAGAACAGACAAUUUUUCUGAUGGUCUGUUCUAUUGAACAGACUUCAUAAUAGAUAGAAGCUUAGUAACACAUAGCAUAAAAAUGUAAGAAAGUUGGAGUUAAAUAUGAUACUAUUAUUUUGGUACCUGUGGUAAAAAUAAUCGACAUUCAAUUUUGGACAUUGUUUAGGAAAUGUGAUUUUACUUUUGGAAGUACUGUAUGUGAGCUACAACUGAGGUAUAUACUUAGAAAUAUGCAAAAAGAAGUUGGGAGUUUAUGUAGGAAUCAGCUUAACUACCUACCUGAUCCUUAAGACUUUAAUUAUAAUUGCUCCAGUUCCUCUGCCACUCUUUGUUGCAAGAUUGCUGAACCCCACUUUUUUUUUGCAAGUUUCUCAGGGGUUUUUACUCUUACAUUCACCUCUGCCACAAACUUCUCACUUUGGUGAAUCAGUUCAGGCCCAGCACUUUUGUCCACAGGCUGUUAUUGUUCCUUAAAUGUUGAACUAGAAAUAGAAAUCAGCUUUUUCCUAAACUUACACGAAAUGCCAUUCACACAAGACAAAUACAGGAAUGGUAAGAAAAAUAAAAGUGUAUUACUAUGUAAACAGUUUAAAAUUAAAUAAUUUUUUAAAUGUUGAAAAUAAUUCUUUUUUUUUUCUGACAUGUACACUAUCCUUUCUCUCCUCACACAUUUCCAUUCCAUUUUUUUUUCUCAUCUGAAAUACCAUCCUCUCAGGAGAAAAACACAAGAAAAGUAAUAGAAAAAUGUAAUCUCAGGUUUUUGUACCAAAGCAAUUCAGCUUUUUUCCCUAACCUCACAGGCAGAUCAGGGCUUAUAGUUUCCAAGAAAAUAUUGAAAUAUUGAUGAACUUUUUAGAUAAAAAUUCACUUUUUGCACCAGCCUGGGGAUAUAGACAGAGCAGGGUAUGGCUCCAUUAAAUAGAGAACAGAAGAUCAUGAAUGAGUCAGGGAUAAAGUUUGGGAUCAGGAAUCAUCUAUGAAAUUAUAUUGGAGAAGCCAAUUAGAGAGAAGUGAAGACAGAAGCCUACAAGAACAUAUAAAAGGAAAAUAGGAAAGUUUCAGUGUGCACCUGCAUUUAAAGUGAAAAGGAAUGAAUGAAAGCCUAGGAGAUUCUUGAAAAAUAAUUAUGGUAGUUGUAUGGAUUAAAUUUAAUUAUUUUAAUUUACUGAUAGGAAAAGUGAGAUAUACACAUGAAAGAUUUGCUGCAGAACUGGCAUGCUUGAGGAAAUAUUCGUUGUCAGGUGCCUCUGACUUAAAGAUUCCAUCAUUUUUAGGACAUUAGGAUAUUCCUAAUGAAUUCAUUCUCCUCUGAAGAGUCAGAAUGGAGACUCAGUGAGAAAGUCAUUUUACUUUGGUGGUUUCCAAUGUAAAGGAAACAACAAAAGCUCUAAAAGAUUCAGCUGUGGGUAAAGCAAACAUUUUAAAUCUAGAAUACUGAGUUAGAUGGAAUUUAAUCACAUUUAUUUAGGAAAACCAAAGACUCCUGAAAGGACAAAUGUGUGUUUUCCCAGCCUCCCUGGAAAGUAAUUUUAAAAGUUCUGUGGGUUAUAUGCAAAUUUUCUUAAUUUAUCAAUGGGAAAGUGCGGUCAUAAGCAAAUGACCUCAGCUCAGCCAAUCUUGAGCAUCAAUUUGAGAACCUAAGAUUCAAGGAGGCAAGACCAGCAAAGGCCCCUUCAGAUAUUGGCAGUUCAGAGUGAGUUCAGAUACUUCAGAGCCAGAGAUGUACAAGCUGGAGAAUUUAAUGUUGAAAAAUGGUACUGAUAUUGUCUUUGCUAGACAGUUAUGUGGGGUGAUUUUAGACUCUGAUUCUGGCUGUCUAGCCUUUCAUUGCCUCUUCUGGUUUUCUGAGCUAGUACUUUAAAGCCUCUAGCUGAUUCUACAAGCUAACAUAAUUAUCUUUCAAGAAAUUCCUUUUCUGUCCAAAUCCUCCAGAGUGAGUUUCUGUUGCUUUCAACAAAAAACCUUGACAAGUAUUAGUAGAUAAGGCAAAGUUUGGGACCAUAGCUUGAUUUGUCAUUUUUGGAAUGAUAUUUUACUUGGGGAGAGAUGGAUGUUCUCUAUCUUUUCAAAAAUUGUUUUUGCUAUGAACUGUAUUCAUAUGUGAGUUGUAAUGUUAAAGAAGAAAAAAAGAUUUAAAAUUGCUUCCUGUAGCAGAACGUGAGGCAGUAAAAAGUACAAAAUGCUAAGCAGAGAAAACAAGACAAUAGAAAGAAAAGACUUCUCAAAAGAGAAGCUGACAGGAUCCGUGUGAAAAAAAUAUAUAUAUAGUUGGGUUUAAAUCGCAUAUGUGACAAGAAAGAUGUUGUGACAGGGAGAAAAAUGUUUGUUUACUCACAGCUCCUCCAUAUCCCAACUCCAUCAUGUCAGCACAGGCACACGCAUACUCUUCUAUGGAAGGUUCUCCUUGCUGUAUUGUUUUUGCUAGUUUAGUGCAACAUUCUCUUCAGUAAAAAUGGCUUUUCAUAUACUCGAACGCAGUGUAAGAUGGUACGUGUUUGGAUACUUAAAAUUGAAAGAGCUUGAGCUGAUACAAAUAGCUUUUCAUUAAAAAGAAGCGGGGAGAUGGAGAUGGGGAGUACAGAGAAGGGGAGCCCCAGGAAAGCAAGGAAGACAAGGAUUUUCUCAGAGGAAGAUGCUUAGUACUGUUUGAUAUAGCCCUCCCUUCAUUUUCUUGUCCAGGGGAACCUUAAAAUAUUUUCUGGUCAUUGUGGUUUGUGAGCUAUAUUUACAUAGAAGGUGAUGCUAUGAAGCACUGAAACUUGCUCUAGGUUGUGCAAAAGAUGGAGAGCAAGGUAACCAACCAGAGGAGUUAUUUCCAUAUUUAUGUGGCCUUUUCUGUGGUUUGGAGCUGCUAAAGGUACUAAUUGAAAGAGACCUUUAAACUAUGGAUGCUAU